ACUCCUACGGGAGGCAGCAGUGGGGAAUAUUGCACAAUGGGCGCAAGCCUGAUGCAGCAACGCCGUGUGAGUGAAGAAGGUUUUCGGAUCGUAAAACUCUGUCCUAAGGGAGAAACAAAUGACGGUACCUUAGGAGGAAGCCCCGGCUAACUACGUGCCAGCAGCCGCGGUAAUACGUAGGGGGCAAGCGUUAUCCGGAAUCACUGGGCGUAAAGGGUGCGUAGGCGGCUUAGCAAGCCAGGGGUGAAAGGCAUUGGCUCAACCAAUGUAAGCCUUUGGAACUGUUAAGCUUGAGUGCAGGAGAGGUAAGUGGAAUUCCUAGUGUAGAGGUGAAAUUCGUAGAUAUUAGGAGGAACACCAGUGGCGAAGGCGACUUACUGGACUGUAACUGACGCUGAUGCACGAAAGCGUGGGUAGCGAACAGGAUUAGAUACCCUGGU
Molecule: ribosomal RNA, 440 nt
Filed under: uncultured bacterium
Lineage: Bacteria
Description: bacterial SSU rRNA
Rfam family: Bacterial small subunit ribosomal RNA
Source: RNAcentral